RNAcentral lists this ribosomal RNA (514 nucleotides) under uncultured bacterium. Its description in RNAcentral is "partial 16S ribosomal RNA". It matches the Rfam family "Bacterial small subunit ribosomal RNA", at positions 28 to 523 of the family's 1533-position model. The record is from RNAcentral.
GAUGAACGCUGGCGGCGUGCCUAAUACAUGCAAGUCGAGCGAACUGAUUAGAAGCUUGCUUCUAUGACGUUAGCGGUGGACGGGUGAGUAACACGUGGGCAACCUGCCUGUAAGACUGGGAUAACUUCGGGAAACCGAAGCUAAUACCGGAUAGGAUCUUCUCCUUCAUGGGAGAUGAUUGAAAGAUGGUUUCGGCUAUCACUUACAGAUGGGCCCGCGGUGCAUUAGCUAGUUGGUGAGGUAACGGCGCACCAAGGCAACGAAGCAUAGCCGACCUGCGAUGGUGAUCGGCCACGCUGGGACUGAGACACGGCCCAGACUCCGACGGGAGGCAGCAGUAGGGCAUCUUCCGCAAUGGACGGAAGUCUGACGGAGCAACGCCGCGUGAGUGAUGAAGGCUUUCGGGUCGUAAAACUCUGUUGUUAGGGAAGAACAAGUACAAGAGUAACUGCUUGUACCUUGACGGUACCUAACCAGAAAGCCACGGCUAACUACGUGCCAGCCGCCGCGGUAA